GGACCACAGAGACUCCAGGAACAGGCGUCACCGCAGCUAAUGAGCCCCGCGACCCGCUCAGCCGGGUGCAGGGCGCAGGCGGCAGGCCGUGAUGGCAAUGCCUAGGACGGAGGCAGAGAGAGCGAGUUGAGGCCAGCCUUAGCACCUCAGUGAGGCCCCAUCUCAACAAGAUUAAAAGGGCUGGGACGCAGCUGAGUGGAAAAACACUCCUGGGUUCAACCUCCAGGACCAGAAAAAGAAAAUAAGAGACGAUGGACGUCGAAUCGUUUGGAAAAGAGUUUUUUGCAACGUUGUAAAAAUUAUUGGAAUAAGUGACAGGAAGAAAAUAGAGACCAAUCUAACCGAGGGGAAGGCGACUCUAACUCCAGGAAAACCGAAAAGCAAUGUCCACGGCACGGACGUUUCAGAGCCGGAGGACAGUCACAAAGGGCCUCUGAUAUAAAGGGAAUGUGACGCUAUUGGUCUUUUAAGAGGAUGAAGGCAAACCCGUAUCUGAAAAGGGCUUGCAUCCCCCUCUAGUAAGAAACCCAGAGAUGCCCGAACCAGAAAAGUCGAGGAGUAAGCCCAAGUUCAAGGAACAGCUCAAAGUCUGCAUGAUGGUUGUGUUUAAGCAAGACUUGAAAACGGAAAAUGUGCGGAACAGGAGUCCUUUGUCCUACAGACGCGAGUGUUUAAGACGUGUUCAGACACAUCCUUGCACGUACCAGCGGAGCGUGAUCUAACGAGCCCCAAGCAGUCUUAACCCAGCUUCAGCCAUUACCAACUUGUGGCCUGAUUCACUGACGACUUUGUGUUACUUAA
RNAcentral lists this long non-coding RNA (801 nucleotides) under Marmota monax (woodchuck). The record is from RNAcentral. Lineage: Eukaryota; Metazoa; Chordata; Mammalia; Rodentia; Sciuridae.